GAUGAACGCUGGCGGCGUGCCUAAUACAUGCAAGUCGAGCGAACAGACGAGGAGCUUGCUCCUCUGACGUUAGCGGCGGACGGGUGAGUAACACGUGGAUAACCUACCUAUAAGACUGAGAUAACUUCGGGAAACCGGAGCUAAUACCGGAUAAUAUAUUGAACCGCAUGGUUCAAUAGUGAAAGACGGUUUUGCUGUCACUUAUAGAUGGAUCCGCGCCGCAUUAGCUAGUUGGUAAGGUAACGGCUUACCAAGGCGACGAUGCGUAGCCGACCUGAGAGGGUGAUCGGCCACACUGGAACUGAGACACGGUCCAGACUCCUACGGGAGGCAGCAGUAGGGAAUCUUCCGCAAUGGGCGAAAGCCUGACGGAGCAACGCCGCGUGAGUGAUGAAGGUCUUCGGAUCGUAAAACUCUGUUAUUAGGGAAGAACAAAUGUGUAAGUAUCUAUGCACGUCUUGACGGUACCUAAUCAGAAAGCCACGGCUAACUACGUG
This 497-nucleotide ribosomal RNA is filed under the name uncultured bacterium. RNAcentral describes it as "partial 16S ribosomal RNA". It matches the Rfam family "Bacterial small subunit ribosomal RNA", at positions 28 to 507 of the family's 1533-position model. The record is from RNAcentral.